ACGCUCGACACCUACGGGAGGCAGCAGUGGGGAAUAUUGCACAAUGGGGGAAACCCUGAUGCAGCGACGCCGCGUGAAGGAUGAAGUAUUUCGGUAUGUAAACUUCUAUCAGCAGGGAAGAAAGUGACGGUACCUGACUAAGAAGCCCCGGCUAACUACGUGCCACAGCCGCGGUAAUCUGAGCGGCUGCAAGGC
Molecule: ribosomal RNA, 195 nt
Filed under: uncultured bacterium
Lineage: Bacteria
Description: partial 16S ribosomal RNA
Rfam family: Bacterial small subunit ribosomal RNA
Source: RNAcentral